Molecule: long non-coding RNA, 14261 nt
Filed under: Homo sapiens (human)
Lineage: Eukaryota; Metazoa; Chordata; Mammalia; Primates; Hominidae
Description: non-protein coding LINC00342:2
Source: RNAcentral
CACAUAUACACCAUGGAAUACUAUGCAGCCAUAAAAAAUGAUGAGUUCAUGUCCUUUGUAGGGACAUGGAUGAAAUUGGAAAUCAUCAUUCUCAGUAAACUAUCGUAAGAACAAAAAACCAAACACCACAUAUUCUCACUCAUAGGUGGGAACUGAACAAUGAGAUCACAUGGACACAGGAAGGGGAAUAUCACACUCUGGGGACUGUGGUGGGGUGGGGGUAGGGGGGAGGUAUAGCAUUGGGAGAUAUACCUAAUGGUAGAUGACGAGUUAGUGGGUGCAGCACACCAGCAUGGCACAUGUAUACAUAUGUAACUAACCUGCACAAUGUGCACAUGUACCCUAAAACUUAAAGUAUAAUAAAAAAAAAAGAUGGAAAGGAAAAACUGGUACCAGCCACUGCAAAAAUGUACUGAAGUACAAAGACCAAUGACACUAUGAAGAAACUGCAGCAACUAGUGAGCAAAAUAACCAGCUAGCAUCAUGGUGACAGGAUCAAAUCCACGCAUAACAAUAUUAACCUUAAGUGUCAAUGGGCUAAAUGUACCAAUUAAAAGACACAGACCAGCAAUUUGGAUAUAAAGAGUCAAGAUUCAGGUGUGCUGUAUUCAGGGUUCCUAUCUCAUGUGGAAAGACACACGUAGGCUCAAAGGGAUGGAGGAAAAUUUACCAAGCAAAUGGAAAGCAGAAAUAAGCAGGGGUUGCAAUCCUAGUUUCUGACAAAACAGACUUUGAAUCAACAAAGAUAAAAAAAAGACAAAGAAUAGCAUCACACAAUGAUAAAGGAAUCAAUUCAACAAGAAGAGCUAACUAUCCUAAAUAUGUAUGCACCCAAUACAGGAGAACCCAGAUUCAUAAAACAAGUCUUUAGAGACCUACAAAGAGACUCAGGCUCCCAUACAACAAUAGUCGGAGACAUUAACACCCCAUUGUAAAUAUUGGAUCAUCUAGACAGAAAAUUAACAAGAAAGGACUGGAACACAGCUCUGGAUCAAGUGAAUCUCAUAGAUAUCUACAGAACUCUCCAACACAAAACAACAGACUAUAUAUUAUUCUCAGUGGCAUAUGACACUCUAAAGUUGAUCACAAAAUUAGAAUUAAAACACUCCUCAGCAAAUGCAAAAUAACUGAAAUCAUAACAAUCUCUCAGACCACAGUGCAAUCAAAUUAGAACUCAAGAUUAAGAAACUCACUCAAAACCACACAACUACAUGGAAAUUGAACAACCUGCUCCUGAGUGACUUCUGGGUAAAUAAUAAAAUUAAGGCAGAAAUCAAGAAGUUCUUUGAAACCAAUGAGAACAAAGAGACAAUGUACCAGAAUCUCUGGGAGGCAACUAAAGCAGUGUUAAGAGGUAAAUUUAUAGCACUAAAUGCCCGCAUCAUAAAGCUAGAAAUAUCUCAAAUCAAUACCCUAACAUCACAACUAAAAGAACUAGAGAAGCAAGAGCAAACAAAUCCAAAAGCUAGCAGAAGAGAAAAAAAAAAUGACUAAGAUCAAAGUGGAACUGAAGGAGACAGAGACAUGAAAAACCCUUCAAAAAAAAAAAAACAAGAAAUAAAACGUGUUCAAAUAGCAAGAGAUAAAAUCAAAUUGUCUCUGUUUGCAGAAAACGUGAUUCUAUAUCUAGAAAACCACAUUGUCACAGCCCAAAAACUCCUUAAGCUGAUAAGCAAGUUCAGCAAAGUCUGAGGAUACAAAAUCAAUGUGCAAAAAUCACAAGCAUUCUUAUACACCAGCAAUAGACAAUAUUCUUCAAUUCCUAUACACCAAUAAUAGACAAGAGAGCCAAAUCAUGAAUGAACUCCCAUUCACAAUUGUUACAAAGAGAAUAAAAUACCUAGGAAUACAGCUAAUGAUGGGUGUGAAGAACCUCUUCAAGGAGAACUACAAGCCACUGCUCAAAGAAAUAAGAGAGGACACAAACAAAUGGAAAAAUAUUCCAUGCUCAUGGGUGGGAAGAAUCAGUCUCAUGAAAAUGGCCAUACUGCCCAAAGUAAUUUAUAGAUUCAGUGCUAUUCACAUCAAACUACCAUUGACAUUCUUCACAGAAUUAAAAAAAAAACUACUUUAAAUUUCAUAUGCAACCAAAAAAGAGACUCAAUAGUCAAGACAAUCCUAAGCAAAAAGAACAAAGCUGGAGGCAUCAUGCUAUAUGACUUCAAACUAUACUGCAAGGCCACACUAAUCAAAACAGCAUGGUACUGAUACCAAAACAGACACACAGACCAAUGGAACAGAAUAGAGAUCUCAGAAAUAAGACCACACAUCUACAACCAUCUGAUCUUUGACAAACCUGACAAAAACAAGCAAUAGGGGAAGGAAUACCUAUUUAUUCAUUUAUUUAUUUUGAGACAAAGUCUCACUCUGUCACCAGGCUGGAGUGCAGUGGCAUGAUCUCAGUUCAUUGCAACCUCUGCCUCCCGGAUUCAAGUGAUUCUCCUGCCUCAGUCUCCCGAGUAGCUGGGACUACAGGUUCGAGCCACCACGCCCAGCUAGUUUUUGUAUUUUUAGUAGAGACGGGAUUUCACCAUGUUGGCCAGGAUGGUCUUGAUCUCUUGACCUCAAGAUCCACCCAUAUCAGCCUCCCAAAGUGCUGAGAUUAUAGAUGUGAGCCACCGCACUUGGCCAGGAUUCCCUAUUUAAAUGGUGCUGGGAAAACUGACUAGCCAUAUGCAGAAAACUGAAACUGGACCUCAUCCUUACACCUUAUGCAAAAAUUAACUCAAGAUGGAUUAAAAACUUAAAUGUAAAACCCCAAACCGUAAAAAACCCUAGAAGAAAAUCUAGGAAGUUCCAUUCAGGACAUAGGCAUAGGCAAAGAUUUUAUGAUGAAAUCAUCAAUAGCAAUUGCAACAAAAGCAAAAAUUGACAAAUGGGAUCUAAUUAAACGUAAGCACUUCUGCACAGGGAAAGAAACUAUCAUCAGAGUGAACAAGCAACCUAUAGAAUGGGAGAAUAUUUUUGCCAUCUACCAAUCUGACAAAGGUCUAAUAUCCAGAAUCUACAAGGAACUUAAACAAAUUUACAAGAAAAUAAUAACCCCAUCAAAAUGUGGGCAAAGGCCAUGAACAGACAUUCUGAAAAGAAGACAUUUAUGCGUCCAACAAACAUAUGAAAAAAAAAAAGCUCAACAUCAGUGUUUAUUAGAGAAAUGCAAAUCAAAACCACAAUGAGAUACCAUCUCAUGCCAGUCAGAAUGGCAAUUAUUAAAAAGUCAAGAAACAACAGAUGCUAGAGAGGCUAUGGAGAAACAGGAACACUUUUAUACUGUUGGGAACGUAAACUAGUUCAACCAUUGUGGAAGACAGUGUGGCAAUUCCUGAAGGAUCUAGAAGCAGAAAUACCAUUUGACCCAGCAAUCCCAUUACUAGGUUUAUAUCCAAAGAAAUCUAAAUCAUUCUAUUUUAAAGAUACAUGCACACUUAUGUUUAUUGCAGCACUAUUCACAAUAGCAAAGACAUGGCAUCAACCCAAAUUUCUAUCAAUGAUAGAUUGGAUAAAGAAAAUGUGAUACAUAUGCACCAUGGAAUACUAUGCAGCCAUAAAAAGGAAUGAGAUCCUGUCUUUUGCAGGGACAUGGAUGAAGCUGGAAGCCAUAAACUUCAGCCAAUUAACACAGGAACAGGAAACCAAACACCACAUGUUCUCAUAAGUGGGAACUGAACAAUGAGAACACAUGGACACGGAGGGGCAGAACACACACCGGAGCCUGUUGGGAAGGUAGGGGGAAGGAGAGCAUCAAGAUAAAUAGCUAAUGCAUGUGGGGCUUAAUACCUAGGUGAUAGGUUGAUAGGUGCAGCAAACCACCAUGGCACAUGUUUAACUAUGUAACAAACCUGCACAUCCUGUACAUGUAUCCUGGAACUUAAAAUAAAAUAGAAAAGACAAAGAAGGAUAUUACAUAAUGGCAAAGGCUUCAAUUCAACAAGAAGACCUAACUAUCCUAAAUAUAUAUUCAUCCAACACAGGAGCACCCAGAUUCAUAAGUAAAGUUCUUAGAGACCUACAAAGUAUGUUUCACAGUAAUAGUGGGAGACUUUCACACUCCAAUGACAGUAUUAGAUCAUUGAGGCAAAAAAAUGAACAAAGAUAUUCAGGACCUGAACUCAACAUUGGAUCAAAUGGAUCUGAUAGACCUUUACAGAACUCUGCACUCAAAAACAACAGAAUAUGCAUUCCUCACAUCAUCAUAUGCCACAUACUCUAAAAUCAACCACAUAAUUGGACAUAAAGCAAUCCUCAGCAAAUGCAAAACAACUGAACUCAUACCAAAUACACACUGAGAUCACAGUGCAGUAAAAAUAGAAGACUAAGAAAAUUGCUGAAAAUCAUGCAAUUACAUGGAAAUCAAUCAACAUGCUCCUGAAUGACUUUUUAAUAAAUAAUGAAAUUAAGGCAGAAAACAAGAAGUUCUUUGAAAAUAAUGAGAACAAAGUUGCAACAUACUAGAGCCUCUGGACAUAGCUAAGGCAAUGUUAGGAGGGAAAUUUAUAGCACUAAAUCCCACAUCAAAAAGUUAGGAAGAACUCAAAUUAAUAACCUAACAUCACAACGGAAAGAACUAGAGAAGCAAGACAAAACCCCAAAGCUAGAGGAAGACAAGAAAUAACUGAAAAUCCGAGCUGAAUUCAAAGAAACCGAGACAUGAAGAAAAAAAAAUUCAAAAGAUCUACGAAUUCAGGGUAGGUUUCUUGAAAAUAUUAAUAAGAAAGUCUGCUAGCAGACUAAUACAGAGGAUGAUUGAAAUAAACACAAUUAGAAAUGACAAAGGGAAUGUAAUUACCACUGACCCCACAGAAAUAGAAACAACCAUCAGAAACUACUGCAAACACUUCUGUGCAUACAAACUAGAAAACUUCAAAGAGAUGGAUAAAUUCCUGGACAAAUACACCCUCCCACAACUGAGCCAGGAAGAAAUUGAUUUGCUGAACAGACCAAUAACAAGCUCCGAAAUUGAAUCAGUAAUAAAUAACCUACCAAUCAAAAAAAGCCCAGAACAUGAUGGAUUCCCAGCCAUAUUCUACUAGAAGUACAAAGAAGAGCUGGUACCAUUUUUACAGGAACUAUUUGAAAAUAUUGAGGAGGAGGAACUCCUCCCCAACUCAUUCUAUGAGGCCAACAUCAUCUUGAUACCAAAAUCUGGCACACACACACACACACACACACACACACACACACACACACAAACUUCAGGCCAAUACCCUUGAUGAACAUCAAUGCAAAAAUCCUCAACAAAAUACGGGCAAACCAAAUCCAGCAGCACAUCAAAAAGUUAAUCCAUCAUGAUCAAGUAUGCUUCAUCCCCAGGAUGCAAGGUUGCCUCAACAUACACGUCAAUUAAUCUGAUUCAUCCCAUAAACAAAACUAAAGAUAAAAACCAUGUGAUUAUCUCAAUAUAUGCAGAAAAGGCUUUCAAUAAAAUUCAAGGCCUCUCCAUAUUAAAAACUCUAAAAAAUCUGGGUAUUGAGGAAACAUAGCUCAAAGUGAUGAGCUGUUUUUGUACCAGUAUCAUGCUGUUUUGGUUACUGUAGCCCUGUAGUAUAGUUUGAAGUUGGGUAACAUGAUGCCUCCAGCUUUGUUCUUUUUGCUGAGGAUUGCUUGGCUAUUAGGGCUCUUUUUUUUUUUGGUUCCAUAUGAAUUUUGAAAUAGUUUGCUCUAGUUCUGUGAGGAAUGCCAUUGGUAAUUUAAUAGGGAUAACUUGCAUCUGUAAAUUACUUUGGGCAGUAUAGCCAUUUUAAUGAUGUUAAUUCUUCCUAUCCAUGAGCAUGAAAUGUUUUUCCAUUUGUUUGUGUCUUCUCUGAUUUCUUUGAGCAGUGUUUUGUAAUUCUCCUAGAGAUCUCUUAGAGAUCUUUCACCUCCCUGGUUAGCUGUAUUCCUAGGUAUUUUAUUUUUUCUGUGUGUAGCAAUUAUGAAUGGGAUUAUGUUCUUCAUUUGACUCUCUGCUUUACUGCUAGGAAUUUUUGCACAUUGAUUUUGUAUGCUAAGACUUUGCUAAAGUUUAUCAGCAGAAGGAGCUUUGGGGCUAAGACUAUGGGGUUUUCUAGAUAUAGAAUCAUGUCAUCUGUAAACAGAGACAGUUUGACUUCCUGUCUAUUCCUCUCUUCCCUCCUCUAUUUGGAUGCCCUUCCAGUUUUGCACAUUCAGUGUAAUGUUGGCUGUGGGUUUGCCAUGGCUAGCUCUCAUCAUUUUGGCACUUCCGACUAGAAGUGCGAGAGGGGCCAGUGUUGUUGUUACCUGAAAGGUAAGUGCAGCCCACAAAAAUGCAGUGAAGAAGAAGAUAUAUGCAUAUGUUUAAGUUAAUACAAUUGAGAUACAUUUAGCAGACAGAAUCAAUAGAGUUGAUGAGUGACUGACUGGAUGUGUGGGGAGUUUAUAUCACUCCCAGGUUUUUGACUUGGGCAACCGGGCACUCAAGAAGGAAAAAGAGGAUCCAGGGAGAGGAACUUUUCUGAGGACUGGGGUAGGGCUGAACAGCUGCAUUCGAGACUGGUGGAGGGUGGGCUGGGCAUGGGAUGCACAAAUGGAAAUUCCACUGGGUCUGCAGCUCACACAUAGGCAUGACCAGCAUAGAGAUAGAGAGGCCCCAGUGCUGCUGAGUAACUGUGAUUCCCCAGGUGAUGGCAUCAGCUGAGAAGGGAAGGAAGCCCAUGUGAGGACACUGAAGAAGGAGUGAGCAGACAAUAAGAAGCCCACAGAAGACAGAGAAGGAACAACUAGAGGGAGAAGCCAAGGCAGGCAUGUGUGAUAACAUAUAGGAACUGAGGGAGAGGACAUUUCAAGAUGGAGGGGAUGCCAUACAACAGGACUAUGUGAUGGUUUUUGGCUGUGUCCAUAGGAAGUCACAACAGGCAAGGGAAAGAAACCAGAACCCAGUCAUGGAGUUAAGAAGUGAGUCAGAGAGGAGAUGGGUAGGGACAGUGAGGUAAGGCCUCUUUCUAAGGAAGUUUGGCUGAAGGAUAGACUAGCUGGACACAUGCUGGCUGUGUGGGGUAGAGGGAGGAAUGAUGGAGGGUAGGAGAGCCUUGAGCCUGCGAGAAGAGUCUCCUAGAAUAGAGAAGCUGAGGUUAAAGUUGUGGAAGACAGUGGGGAUAACUGAGUGACAGAUAAUCAGGAGAAGAAAAGGAGAUCCAGAAUCAUGACAGAGAGAUGACCUUUGCCAAGAGCACAGCCAUCUUUCACUGUCACAGAGAGGUAGGACAAAACGAUUGGUGUUCAAGAAUUGGUUUGUAGCACAAUAUUUUAACUAUGUCCUUUAAAAAGUUUCUCCACAGACACUACCCAAAGCAGUCCUUCACUACAGUGGCAGACAGACCUGAAAAUUUUCAUCUGAAGCAGCAGAGUGAACUGCAGAGUCAGGUCACCAACCAGUGUGGAGGCUAAAAGCGGGCCUCUUUGGGGAUUCCAGGUGGAAGUGUUGGACAUCUGUAGUAUUCCUGGUCUCAAAUCAUCCUGAUAUUCUUCAUUUUGUUAUUCACAUUGGACUAGGGCAAGGAAAUGAGUUCUGGUCAGAGUCAAUGUUUCCCAACAAUGUUGAUUUAUUUGGUCCUAAAUAUUUAAACACAUUUUAUAAAUAGCUUUUCCACACCACAUAUAUAGGGAAAAACAGGGAAUUAACUUGGCCCAGCAGCACUGUUUGUGGGGCUAACACCCUGUGUAUCUCACACCAACCCUAAGCUUUGUUUCCCUCCUGUCACUUUGCUCCUAUUUCUUUCAUAUGAAAGAAUGUUCAUUUUCUUUGAAAAUGAGCUCAUUUCCUCAUUUUCUUUCCAUCUUUCAGCAGGAACAAAGAUCACCACAACUGGCUCCCCUUCAACUAUGUUAGAUGGCAACUUGCCUUCAGUAUGGUGAAACACAUCAGUUAAGACUGGGGUUGUGCAUGGCAGGACUUUCUACAAGGACACCCAGUCUCCUUAAUAAACAUGAGAUGCUCUCUUUCCAGAAGUUCUCUUGCCUGACACAGCAUAGGAAGAUGCUGAACGGCCACACAGUGACCCAUUGGUCAGUGGUGAUGUAAGGAGGUCGGAGGGGAGGAGUGAGGAGAAGUAGGGAAGACUAGGUGGUUGUAGGCCUCCUUCAUCUGUUCAUUGGCUGUGGCAUUAGGCCAGCUACUCUUUGCACUUCUGUAAAGUGAGACGGUCGAUCUUGUCUGCCUCUCUAGAGGAUGGCUGCAGGUGUCAAAUGGGGUAGUUAGGUGGGAGGGCAUUUCACAAAGUUAAAAAAUAUGACUUUGGAGGCUUGUUAUAUUGAUGAGGAUUAUAAUCCCUGAGAAUUCCUGGUAUGAAAAAGGGAAAAGAAGAUAAUUUGUGAAAGAAAUAAGUGUCCAGUUACUAGUCUUUGAAAAGGGUCAGUCUGUAGCUCUUCUUAAUGAGAAUAGGCAGCUUUCAGUUGCUCAGGGUCAGAUUUCCUUAGUGGUGUAUCUAAUCACAGGAAAGAUUGUGGUUCCCUCCAGUCUCUUUCUGGGGGAAUUGAGCCCACUUCUCAUUUCAUUUAAUUAGAUGAAAUAGAACUCAAAGUACAAUUUACUGUUGUUUAACAAUGCCACAAAGACAUGGUUGGGAGCUAUUUUUUGAUUUGUGUAAAAUGCUGUUUUUGUGUGCUCAUAAUGGUUCCAAAAAUUGGGUGCUGGCUAAAGAGAGAUACUGUUACAGAAGCCAGCAAGAAGACCUCUGUUCAUUCACACCCCCGGGGGUAUCAGGAAUUGACUCCAGUGUGUGCAAAUCCAGUUUGCCUAUCUUCUCAAGUUAGGGUUGAUCGGAUAAUUAUGGAGAAGUACACAUUGAAAACUAGAACUAAGCCAAGCAAUUAAAUACGUUUCCUGCCUAUUACAUGCCUUGGUACUGUGCACAAGAGCUCACUGGGCAUCUGAGGGAAGAUCACUAACACACACCUCAAAUGACUGUGUCUGAUUUCCUAGGAGGACUCAGAAAGGGAGUGAUCACUGUGGAUUGGACUGGAUAGUGCCUCAUGCUGGAGGUGGGCUUUGAAUGGAGCCUUGAAGGUCGAGAAAAAGUGAUAUAAACACUGGCUCCUUCCUUUUAAAGGGACACCACACUGUUUGGGCUUAGUGGUUAUAGAUGCCUUUAGCACAGCCCAGGAGCAAGCAUUUAUUGUCUACCUAUCACGUGCUUGGCUUUGGAAAUGCAAAUAAAAAAGGAGGUCACUAUUUUAUGAAAGGAUGAUUUUAUUCUACCUGAUGUAGCCAGCUGCAAGCUUCAGAAGGCAGCACAUACAAUAAUGAUGGGCUGGUGAGAUGAGAGCUAAUGGAGAGAUGUACAAAGUGCCAUGGGAUCACCAAGCAGUGGUCAGGUGAAGGCAUCUGAUUUUCUUUAAGAUCUUGCUCAAAUGUCAUCUCCUCUAGAAGAAAAUGUAGGGCUUCAUCAGUCAGACAACAUGGGGAAAUUGAUCUCAGUUCAAGAAACAUGUACAUGUAUUGAUUAUCUAAUACAUUCAAGCAGUUGUGCACUGGGGAUAGAAAAAUAUCAUCAUCAUCAUCAUCAUCAACAACAACAAUCUUGCUGUAUGCCAGGCACAUAAUUUUACAUGUAUUAUCUCAUUUAAUCUCAAACAACUCUAUGCUAUAGGUGUUUAUUAUUAUCCCUAUUUAGAUGAAACAUUUAACCUUCAGAGAAUUUAAAUAAGUUGCACUUGCAAGCUUAGCAGGUGAGGAAUCAAAUUUGGAAUAGGACCUAGAUCAGUGAUCCCCUAGAUCUACAAUCUUAACCAGUACCCUGUUCUCUCUGCUUAGAGAGCACCUAGAGAAAAUCUGUAAGCAAAUAAUCACAAAACAAGGGAUGACACAAUAUAUGUAAAUGUAGGAUUUUACAUUAAGUGGAAGAAGGAAGGUCAUUAUUUACUUUUUCUGGGUGAGAGAUGAAAACACUUCUGCAAGAGUAUUUCCAAUUUCACCAAAGUAUGGAAAGAUGUUUAUCCUAAUAACAAUACUCAGUAAAUGGUAUUUGAUUUAACUUCAGCCUAGUACAUGAUUUGAUUCUAAAACAGAACAUUUCCUUAGAAUUUCGAUAUCUGGAAUUCUGUAGCUCAAUGGUUUUGGUGGAAAAUUGACUAUUAAUAUUUUAUAUACUUUUAAUAGUUUUGGGGCUAAAUGAAUCAAAUCUAUUCAUAACUCUAAGUUUUCAAAUUCUGACAUCUUUUAGAGUUGUUUAGUUAAAACUAGCUCUUUUCUUCCAGUUCGUUAGCUUACCAAAUGAGCCAAAAUAAAAAACAAAAAUUUAUUUUCAGUCCGAUAUAGAAAGUUAUUUAUAGUUACAUGGUGCUAUCUCUUCCUUUAAAAACAUUUCUUCUUUCUUUUUUUCUCCCUUUCUCUUUUUGAGGGGAUUAUAAACACUGCCAGUAUUUUUUGCCUAAAGGGUAAAUCCUCUUAAACUCUUUUGGGAUCUAUAUUAGGUGCCAGAUGGUCAUAAGAAAAUUAUGUGAGAUACUGGUGAAUAAACAAGCAAACCAGAAGCUAGGUUUUCAGAAUAGAUGCUAGCCAGUAGUUCACAGGCAUUAUCCAGCAACUGGUGGGGAUCUACUUGGCCAGCCCGUGACCACUGAGAUGUGAACUUCCCUGGACCUUGGCAGUCAAGAGGGAGAGAGGCAGAGAAAGCUCCAUUAUCAUCACUAAUUCCCUUUUGACCACACGUGACAGCAUGACCUGCUUCAAAGAAAUAAGAUAAAUGGUGGUUAGGUGCCCCCACAGGCCCACAGUAGCCCAUUCAACAAAGAGCAAAAGUAAAACUAUUCCUGAUGGAUUUAGCAACAUCAUAGUUCACUUGUGAGGCAACAGGCUUUUAUUGCUUGCUUUGGGACUGGCUUCUUCUCACUUUCUGUGGGAAAGUGAGCCUACCUGACUUAGAAACAAAAUUUUGGAACACAAACCCUUUGUAAGUUGGGAGAUCCCUAAACUAAAAUUUCAAGUGAGAUGAAAAGCCCCUUGAGAAAGAAAUUUCUGGCUGGGCAUGGUGGCUGAUACCUCUAAUUCCAGCACGUUGGAAGGUUGAGGCAGGAAGAUCACUUGAGGCCAGGAGUUUGAGACCAGCCUAAGCAACAUAGGGAAACCCCUGUGAUAUAGUUUGGAUCUGUGUCCCCACCCAAAUCUCAUGUUGAACUGUAAUCCCCAGUGUGGUAGGUGGGGUCUGGAGGGAGGUGACUGGAUUAGGAGGGUGGAUUUCUCAUGAAUGGUUUAGUACUAUCUCCUUGGUACUCCUCAUGAUAGCAGGUGAGCUCUCGCAAGAUCUGGUUGUUUAAAAGUGUGUGGUAUCUCCCCCCUCACUCUCUUGUUCCUGCUUUCACUAUGUGACAUGCCUGCUCCCCCUUCACAAUCUGCCAAUAAAUUGUGGCAGGUUAUGAGUGUGUGUAAUUUAUGAGUGCUGAUAGGAUGAAAGAUAGAAAAUGAUUUUAGAUAGAAAGAAAAUAAUUCUGGAAGCUUUGAGUCUUCCUCUUGUAAUCUAUGUUGGUUCUUUUUUAAUAUACCCUGUUUCAGCACUUACUGACUUGGAGUCUCUCUCACAAUGACUAAAUGUAAUAUGAGAUUCUAGGAUGUAUACUAGAACAGAAAAUGGAAACUAAAUAAAAACUGAGGAAUUCUGAAAAAGUAUGGUCUUUAGAUAAUAAUAAGAUAACAAUAUUGAUGCCUUAAUUGUAAUGAAUGCACCACACUAAUAUAAAAUUUUAGUAAUAGAGAAAGCAGAGUUUGGGUACUUACCAGGAAUAUUAUACUAUUUUCACAAUGUUUCUGUAAACCUUAAAGUGUUCAAAAAUUAAAAUUUUAUUUAAGUCAGUUGCAAUAUAUAAGAUUAAUUGAACCAAAAUUGUGGAAAAUAUAACUUCUGUUAUAAUGUUCCUUGGAAGCUUCUAAAGACAAGGCCUUUCUUUUCUAUUUUUAGUAAAAAUUACACGUAUUUUCAAGUCAAACUGUUAAUAUGUGACAAUAUUUGCAGUACUGAAAGCUUAAUAACUUAUAGAUUCAUGGUAAUGAAAAGCAAAGCAUAGUGUUUUUGGUUUUGGAAUACUGUAUGAAAUAUGUAAUCUUUUUUUUUUUAAAGAUGGAUUCUCACUCAUUUGCCCAGGCUGGAGUGCAGUGGGAUGGUCUCAGCUCACUGCAACUUCUGCCUUCUGAGUUCAAGCAAUUCUUCUGCCUCAGCCUCCCCAGUAGCUGGGACUACAGGCAUGUGCCACCAUACCUGGCUAAUUUUUUUUUUUUUUUUUUGUAUUUUGAGUAGAGAUGGGGUUUCACCAUUUUGGCCAGGCUGGUCUCGAAUUCCUGACCUCAGGUGAUCUGCCCACUUUGGCCUCCAAAAGUGCUGGGAUUACAGGCAUGAGCCACCAUGCCUGGCCAAAACAUGUAAUCUCUUAUUCAAGGUUUAUAAUAACAGUUAUGUGAUACUCAGUAAGGGACGGUGAUCUAUAUAAAAUAAAAGGCCAGGCACAGUGGCUUAUGCCUGUAAUCUCAGCAUUUUGGGAGGCCAAGACACGAGGACUGCUUGAGUUCAAAACCAGCUUUGUCAGCAUAGUGAGACCUCAUCUCUACAAAAAAAUCAAAAACAUUAGCUGGGGGUGGUGUCACACACUGGUAGUCCCAGAUAUUUGGGAGGAUGAGGUAGGAGGAUCCUACCUGAGCCUGGAAGACAAAGGCCACUGCACUUCAGCCUCGGUGACAAAGUAGGAUCCUAUCUCAAAAUAGAUAGAUAGAUAAAUAGAUAGAUCAAUGUUAUUUAUCUCAAUAUUUGAAAGAAAAGUUGAAAAACCUCUGAGCUCAACUAAGAAUCAGUUUCUAGAAUAAAGAGAAGUAUAAAUCAUUAUACCUCUUUACUUUAAAAAUAUUACAGACAUUAUAAGUAUUUUAAUAACAAAAAAAUCAAAUACUUUAUAUAUACUUUGUAAUCUGUCCUUUACAAAAUCAUUUAACCUUUAUGACAGGAGCUACUAUGGUGCUCAUUCCACAGAUGAGGUGCUGAGGUUUAGUGAACUGAAUAGCUUGUUCACAGACAGUUGGAGACAGAGACUCAGUUUGCCCAUACAAAGAUAAUUUUAACCAAUAGCAUUUUACAAUAGAAUAUCAUAAUACCUAUGAAUUCUAAAAACAUUUUAUUCAAAUCUCUCUUUUAAUAUUAGCACCUCUUCAACCUCUUCUUGACUCUACCACCAAAUUUAUCUUCCUAAUUUCUCUUACCCUGUAAAUUUCUGUGUGUGUGUGUGUGUGUGUGUGUGUGUGUGUGUGUGAGAGAGAGAGAGAGAGAUAGAGACAGGGAAAGAGUGAGUUUACCAAAAAAAUAAGAUAGGAAGGUUGUCGUAACAUCUUCCAUUUCUCAAUUCUGAAGUCCCCAUUUUCAUCCCUGGGAGAGUUGUUCUAGGAUAGGGUAGCUAAAGGAACAGAGAAAAUCAGAGUAAUGGAAUUAGCUAAAAGGGAAAGUGGUGACCUGAAGACCAAACACUAAAGAAGGGGCCAGUGAAUGGCAAAGAAAGUGCAGAGCAAAAAACAUGCAGGUAGAUGGGGUCCUAGUUAGUGAAGGCCCACAGGCUGGAGGGUAAACCCAUGCAAGGGUCAAGUUUAAUACAGUGAAAAUAUAAGAUGGGAGACCUACCACAGAGAACCAACACUUGGCAUGUUUCUGAUGACAGUGUUUAGAUUGCAGUGGUUCUAAAAAUUAAGUGAUUUUGGAAUUGGCAUUCCAUGUCAUUUUAAAAGAUAAAUGAUAAAGUAAAUGUUUUAUUCAGAUCUCUCUCUCCCUCCCCACCCACCUUUUUCCCUCCAUUCUUCUGUUUUUAAUGGGGACGUUUAAAAUCCAAUCUCACAUUAAUUUUUUCUUAAGUGUAAAUAAUGGGAAAACUUCACUUCGAGAGGGGGCUCCUCAGUAGACCUCCAUAAUUUCCUGGCUUUUACUGCCAGUUAGUCAUCAGGAAUAGCCAUGGCUAAGAGAGUACCAACUGGGCAAGCCAGUGAAUUAUACCAGUGCAUCUCAGAUUUAUUGAUUUGUUUAACUUUUGUUUUUUGUUCUUUUUUUUUUUUCAGAGAUAGAAUCUCACUAUGUUGACCAGGCUGGUCUUGAACUCUUGGCACCCAAGCGAUCCUUUUGCCUGGAAUCCCAAAGUGUCAGAUUUACUGAAGAAUAUUUCAUUGUAAUUACUUUUUAUACUUUAUAGGUCAAGAGCUCUGUUUUAAAGACAAAAUUUAUUGAAUAUACUUUUUCAAACAAAGUUUCAUGUUCUAAUCAUUGUCUGAUUUCAGCAUUAAAUGAAACACAGUAAAGAAAGUUGGG